This 253-nucleotide ribosomal RNA is filed under the name uncultured prokaryote. RNAcentral's name for it is "partial 16S ribosomal RNA". It matches the Rfam family "Bacterial small subunit ribosomal RNA", at positions 525 to 777 of the family's 1533-position model. The record is from RNAcentral.
ACGAAGGGUGCAAGCGUUACUCGGAAUUACUGGGCGUAAAGCGUGCGUAGGUGGUUUGUUAAGUCUGAUGUGAAAGCCCUGGGCUCAACCUGGGAAUGGCACUGGAUACUGGCAAGCUAGAGUGUGGCAGAGGGUAGUGGAAUUCCUGGUGUAGCAGUGAAAUGCGUAGAGAUCAGGAGGAACAUCAGUGGCGAAGGCGACACCCUGGACUCAUACUGACACUGAGGUGCGAAAGCGUGGGGAGCAAACAGGA